Molecule: ribosomal RNA, 429 nt
Filed under: Chloroflexota bacterium
Lineage: Bacteria; Bacillati; Chloroflexota
Description: Chloroflexi bacterium partial 16S ribosomal RNA
Rfam family: Bacterial small subunit ribosomal RNA
Source: RNAcentral
UGGGGAAUAUUGCACAAUGGGCGCAAGCCUGAUGCAGCCAUGCCGCGUGUGUGAAGAAGGCCUUCGGGUUGUAAAGCACUUUCAGCGGGGAGGAAGGCGUUAAGGUUGAUAACCUUGGCGAUUGACGUUACCCGCAGAAGAAGCACCGGCUAACUCCGUGCCAGCAGCCGCGGUAAUACGGAGGGUGCAAGCGUUAAUCGGAAUUACUGGGCGUAAAGCGCACGCAGGCGGUCUGUCAAGUCGGAUGUGAAAUCCCCGGGUUCAACCUGGGAACUGCAUUCGAAACUGGCAGGCUAGAGUCUUGUAGAGGGGGGUAGAAUUCCAGGUGUAGCGGUGAAAUGCGUAGAGAUCUGGAGGAAUACCGGUGGCGAAGGCGGCCCCCUGGACAAAGACUGACGCUCAGGUGCGAAAGCGUGGGGAGCAAACAGG